Molecule: ribosomal RNA, 601 nt
Filed under: uncultured bacterium
Lineage: Bacteria
Description: bacterial SSU rRNA
Rfam family: Bacterial small subunit ribosomal RNA
Source: RNAcentral
ACACAUGCAGUCGACGGUAACAGGUCUUCGGAUGCUGACGAGUGGCGGACGGGUGAGUAAUGCGUAGGAAUCUGUCUUUGAGUGGGGGACAACCCAGGGAAACUUGGGCUAAUACCGCAUAAGCCCUGAGGGGGAAAGCGGGGGAUCUUCGGACCUCGCGCUGGAAGAGGAGCCUACGUCUGAUUAGCUAGUUGGUAGGGUAAAGGCCUACCAAGGCGACGAUCGGUAGCUGGUCUGAGAGGACGACCAGCCACACUGGGACUGAGACACGGCCCAGACUCCUACGGGAGGCAGCAGUGGGGAAUUUUUCGCAAUGGGGGCAACCCUGACGAAGCAAUGCCGCGUGAAUGAAGAAGGCCUUCGGGUUGUAAAGUUCUUUCGUGGAGGACGAAAAGGUGGGUGCUAAUAUCGCCUGCUGUUGACGUGAAUCCAAGAAGAAGCACCGGCUAACUCCGUGCCAGCAGCCGCGGUAAUACGGGGGGUGCAAGCGUUAAUCGGAAUCACUGGGCGUAAAGGGUGCGUAGGCGGUGCAUUAGGUCUGUCGUGAAAUCCCCGGGCUCAACCUGGGAAUGGGCGGUGGAAACCGGUGUACUAGAGUAUG